Molecule: long non-coding RNA, 1517 nt
Filed under: Pogona vitticeps (central bearded dragon)
Lineage: Eukaryota; Metazoa; Chordata; Lepidosauria; Squamata; Agamidae
Description: lncRNA (ENSPVIG00000017016.1)
Source: RNAcentral
UAAUUGCCUUAAAUGGGCAGUUUUCUGUACAGAAGGCGCAGUUUCCUACCAUUUCUUUUCUGUAGGGUAGAAUAACAUAAGCUAUAUAUUGAUCUCUGACCAGAAUUCAUCUAUGCUGCAGAAGACUUUUUUCUAUUAAUAUGGUAGAAUACUUCUGUUAGAGAUCACCUGGAAGAUCACUGAACAUCAAUCACUGCUUAAUUUAAUUUUGAUUGUGUUUAAUCAGACUGUUAUACCCAGUGUCACAUUUAAAUAGUGAAAAAUUAGGAUUCUGAAAGGCCAUGCAACUCAUGUAAAUUUACACUAUUGUUUGAAAGAAAAGUUCUAUGGCUAGAAUCCAACAGGGCUCUACCAUAAUGGAAUUUCUUUCACUAGCAGAACUGAGGGUGGGCAGUCUCCCCUUACAACCCCAUCUGUCCUCCAAACCAGCUCUGGAUAGCUGACAGGAUUUUGGGCAGAAUAGAGAACUAGAAGGGGAAAGGGGGAUUGAGGGAAGAAAUUCUCAUUGUACUAGUGGAUGAGUAGUAAUGUGAUGUUAAAUAUAGAACAUGCAUUGUAGGUAAGGAGCAUGAUAUGUAUUCAGUAGUGACUUCCAUUUUCUAUUUGUACCCCACUUACAGAGAUUAAUGGGGAGGGGAUUUUGAAUUAGAUGGCACAACUUUCAACCUGGAUUAUGCCUAUUUGGGUUCCAGUAUAGUGAGACAACAUACAGCAAAGAUAUAACUGCACCACACUAAUUUUUUUUCCGUAUUCUUCUGCAAUGUCAAACCUCAUGCCAUAUGCAGAAACCUCUGUGACAGGCUCCAGCCACAGGCAGUAUGCCUAGGUUGCUAGGAAACAAUGGUGUAGAUGCUCAACCUAGCUCCGAAGUUAUCUCAGCACUGCUGUUUGAGAAGGUGAUAUCAUGACUAACAUGCUGCUGAUCGUCUCACCAGAAGAAGGUUUUGGGAAACACAGCAAACACUGUGGGAGGCUCCUGCAUCUGAGCUCCAUAUGAUGGACAGGAGUGACGUAGUGACCUGGGCAUUCUGCCACACGAUUUUGGAGAUCAUUUUAAUUGAGGACUUCAGCUUUGGAGAAGCAAGGCCGGUGUCAGCAGCCAGACAAACUAGGCUGCGUUCCAAGAUACUUGGCCUCUGGGGCAGAAAGCACAGGGCUACCAGUCCAUUAUUUUUGUCACAAAAGAUGGCCUUCAGAUCAGAGGAAAAAUUGAUCGAGACAGUCCCAGCUUUUAGUGACAGUCAGUGAGGAUUCAACAGUCCUGCAAAAACAAGGAUUUUUAGAUUCUUUCUUGGUAAAAGCAUUCAAACAGGAAAAAUGAAAAACUGUUUUCCAACCAAUACUUAUUUUAAGAUUGUCUCUGUCCUGGAGCCAAACAGACAAGAACAUCUUUGGAUUUAAAAGAUCUGGCACUGAAAUCAUACCUUCAAAUACUUGCUUGCUUGCCAUUGAUUCCUAGACAUGAAUGAUUUCUUAAAAUAUAUAAUAAAGAAGAAGAAAAAAAUGAGAGUUGUGCA